Molecule: ribosomal RNA, 291 nt
Filed under: uncultured bacterium
Lineage: Bacteria
Description: partial 16S ribosomal RNA
Rfam family: Bacterial small subunit ribosomal RNA
Source: RNAcentral
AACGAACGCUGGCGGCAGGCCUAACACAUGCAAGUCGAACGAGAAGUCAGAGCUUUGCUCUGAUGGACAGUGGCAGACGGGUGAGUAACGCGUGGGAAUUUACCCAGUGGUACGGGAUAACUCAGGGAAACUUGAGCUAAUACCGCAUAAGCCCUUCGGGGGAAAGAUUUAUCGCCAUUGGAUGAGCCCGCGUUAGAUUAGCUUGUUGGUGAGGUAAAAGCUCACCAAGGCAACGAUCUAUAGCUGGUCUGAGAGGAUGAUCAGCCACACUGGGACUGAGACACGGCCCAG